Molecule: ribosomal RNA, 512 nt
Filed under: Tubifex smirnowi
Lineage: Eukaryota; Metazoa; Annelida; Clitellata; Tubificida; Naididae
Description: partial 16S ribosomal RNA
Rfam family: Bacterial large subunit ribosomal RNA
Source: RNAcentral
UCAAAAACAUUGCCACCUGAACUAAAUAAGUGGUACGUCCUGCCCAGUGAUCAUUUCAACGGCCGCGGUAUCCUAACCGUGCAAAGGUAGCAUAAUCACUUGCCCAUUAAUUGUGGGCUAGAAUGAACGGAUAAACGAGGAUAGCCCUGUCUCCUUUAAGCCUCUAAAAAUUAAUAUUUGAGUGAAGAAGCUCAAAUCUAUUCGCAGGACAAGAAGACCCUAUAGAGCUUUAUUUUCAAAGUACUACUUCAGUACUCUACAAUUCGGUUGGGGCGACCAAGGACCACAAAUCAUCCUACAUUCACAAAACCUACAAGUUACUCAAAAGAUCCUAUUACUAGAUCAUCGAAUCAAGCUACCUUAGGGAUAACAGGCUAACUUUCCUAGAGAGCCCUUAUAAAAAAGAAAGGUUGGCACCUCGAUGUUGGCUUAGGACCUCUUCGCGAUGCAGAAGUCGCGACUAGAUGGUUUGUUCAACCAUUAAAAUCCUACGUGAUCUGAGUUCAGACCGG